CAACAGGGAACUGUCUGCUGCAGAAGGACAAGGAAUCCACCAGUAGCUGCAGGGCUGAGCUGCGGCUCAGCAGGGAGGUUGUCCAACACUUUAUUAUCAAUCAGGGCCACAAAAAUCAAUGGAGUUGUGCUGUGGAACCUGUGCUCAUCACAGACAGGAGAAAAGCAGCUGUCAGGGCCCUGUGCAACCACGAGAUGGAAGAGCUACAGGGAGCAGCAGCAGCCUGCAGUGACAGCACACCAGGAAGCUGCAGCAGGUCAGGGCCCUGAUUGCUGCUGUAGAGCUGCAAAUUCCCCUCUCUGCCCAACUGGUGACAGUCUCUGGGGCUCUGCCAGAGCAGCAGGACAACCACAGGACACCUUCCUUCCCUCACCAAGCUUAUGAGACUAAGCCCAGGAGAACUGAGCAAGACCUUAACGCACCCCCUGAGCAUCCUUGGGCAAAGUUUUUAAUCUCUUUGGCCUCCAUGUCCAUUCUCCCAGCUCCCUGUGCUUUUUCCCUGCUGCUGAGGGCUGGUGGGAUGUUAAUUUAAGGGAGCUGUGUGGUGAUACUGUGGCUAAAAGCUUCACAGAAAGGCUGUAAAUGUAAAGAUGCAUUUGCAACACAGACAGAACCCAUGUUCCCAUCACUGGAAAAGCACAUGGAGGAUGAGCAUCUCUUGCUGUGAUCUCAUGUCUCUAUACUGAGACAGAGGAAGGAAUAAAAGUCUCAGGUUUAGAGCUGCCUGUGCACAUCUGUAAUUAAGCUGCAACGUCACAAAAGCUGGUACCAACACCCUCAGCAGAGAGACAACAAGGAAAAAGAGGAACUAUCCCCAGAUGACUUUGUUAUCUCCUGAAAGGCUGGAAAAGACCAGGCCAAAGUUUUAAAGACAAAAAAAAAAACCUCAUAUCCUCCAGAAAACUGGAAUGAUUUUAUUUCCUGUCUGAACAUGAGAAACUUGUGAAUUGUACUAAAUACAUCACUGAAUGAUGAAAAGGCAGGAGAGGAACAUCUGGAAGAAGAAGUGUCCAGCUUCAGUUCCCUUCUACACUUGCAGAGCUGUUCCCAGCCUGCUGCUCCCCUUCCCCACCAGGGAUCUCAGGGAUGCUGGUGCUGCCCAACCCUCCAUCUCUGAGGAAAUCUGAAUGCUUUGGACUGAUCUGCUGGCUCAGAAGAUGCCCCUGCUCAUCUUUCACCUCAGUGUGGGUGAGCUUGCUCCUGGAGGUGUCUCUGAGCCUGGCUGGCAGCACUGCCUGUUCCUUUGUCUUGCUGUGUGAGAUGCUGCUGCAAUGCAGUGCACAGCUGCAGUGACCUUUACCCAACUCCCAGCAUCUGCAGCACCCAGAGGCUCCCAAACUGCUCCAGCUGAGCAAGGAGGAGGGUGAAGUCCUCACACACAGCCCCAGAACCCAUGGUGUGUCUUUGGAGGAGACCCGAGGAGGCAGUUCCAUUUAUCAGAAAACAUUUCAACGUGGAUUGCACUAUCAAUCUGCCUGACAGCAUCUCCAGCAGCUCCUUGACACCGUGCCAGCAGCAGAGCUGGGUUACCUCUGGGCCAAGGCUGCUGCAACACCUGCUUUUCCUACUUCCAGCAUUGGAUGAACCAUCUGCAGCCAAUGCAACCCUGUUUGGGUUGGUUUUGCUGCUGUUGUUUUUGCAGAGUGGGGGCAAGAAAUCCAUCAGCAAUCCUCCCCUGCUCUCGACAGCUCAACAGAUGGCCCAGGUCCUCUGCUCCCAGCUGAUGCAGAUGCUUGAGAAGAUCAAGGAAAAUUGAUGGAAUGAGCACCAAGCCUGUUCCAGAACACUCAGGGCAGGGUGGUCUCCACACUGGGAUGUGCUGAACAGCAAAGCCCACCUUGCCCUGCUGAAGUCAAAUGCAUUUCAGCCACACAGAAACCCCAGUCUCACUUUCACUGCCAUCCCUUGGUCAUCAUGCUAUGGAAAAAGGACAAAAGCAGCACUGGGAGGCUGGGAUCCUCCCAGCAUUCUUGCUUCUGUCAGGCCUUUCCCAGCCUAGAGAACAGAAUAUAUUUCAAUUAGAGAGAGAUGAUAAUUUUUGGUGCACAGCCCCCAGCACAGAGGUUUUCCAGCUCUGUGGGCAAGCACUGUUAACUUGAUUAGAGAUGGAGCAAAGGCUCUGUGCUGCAGCCACAGUGGAACAGGACAGUAAUAAAGGGCACUGCUGUAUGCAGGAAACAAUCAGAUGGGUUUUACAACUAUAAAACUUUAAUUUCAUACGAGGAUUUCUUUUAUAACAUCAUGAUGUGGUAGCCAGGACUCACCUGUGUCCCUGAACUGCCUUAAUGAAGAGUGAUGGUGAUGUUUCCUUUCACAGCAGCCAUGUCUUACUCUCAUUUUUGGCUCCAUUUGCCCAUGCUCUCACCUAAGCUCCAGUUUGGCUUUCUAGAGCAGACUGCCCAAAGUGAAAUUCCCAGUGGGCAGAAUUCCAAAGCUGCAUUUUGACUAAUUAAGUGAUAUCAGGAAAGCUCUAAAUGUGCACAUAAAAACUGGCAAGCAAAGUGCUUCUAAUGAUGAGAGAAUUGCUGUGCAGGGAGGCCCAGCUGCAGCCUUGAGUCACAAGCCCUGUAUUUUUUCAAAAUUGUCAAUGCCAAGAUGUUCAAAAGUGGAACCAAGGAUGUGAGGGGGAAAAGAAGGUAAAAAGCCACGAGUUUGCACCCAAAGGAAACUGCUGCCCUGGCCAUGUGAAGGACACAGAGCUCCUGUUUCCCAGGAGCUGUCUGAUUCUAUCUGACCAUGCUGAAGAAUUAACACAAAGAUCCUGCAGCCAGAGCCUUCAGGCCAUGCCCAUCUCCACAUCAGAGCAAUGGCACUGUGAUAAUGAUGGACAGCUCUCAAACUCCUCUUCCUGAUCCCAUUUCACUUGAGGGUUGGGCUUAAACUCUGAAGCACAAGGGGGUUUUCACCUUUGUUUUUAUAUCACUUUUUGCAUAUGCUGUAGAAAUUCUUGACUCUCAUAAGUAAAUUCAAUAUUUCUGAGCAUUUCUUGCAUCAGAAAUUCCUGUAGCAGGGAGUUCCACAGAAUCAGCUGAACUAGAGUCACCUUUCUUUGUGAUGGCUUGAACUCACAAAAAAGCCAAAUUAAGUUGCAACUGCUCACUGCAGUGAAAGCCUUUGGGGGCACACACACUACUGGCCUGCCUGAUUUCAAAGGGAAAGCAGACCCUCAGCUGAUCCAGAAUGCCUGAGCAGCACAGGGAUGCAUGCUGGAAUGGCAGUGGGUCUUUGGUAUUUGCAUUUUGAAGGAGUUACAAGACAAGUCUAUCUGGCCUGUCAGCCACUUCCUCGGCGUGCUGCGACUCCACGGUGCAGCAAGGACAGCUAAUCCCUCAGUGGAGCUGGGAUCAGCUUCCUUGCCUCCAGCCUGCAGUCAAAGCAGGAGCCCAGACACUGACUGAGCUGUGUGCUGUAAUUCAAUAUGCAGUAUCUGGUUCAUGGGCUCAUCUCUCACCUCAACACAGCGUUGCAACUUUCUGAAAACAUCGCCGGCAAUUAUUUUUCCGUCUUCAGAUCGGGUUUUGUGAGAUCCACUACAGCUAAAGGGACAGCUGGUCUGCACAAAGACCUCUGAAAAAUGCAUGGAAGUGGACAUGGGCAAUGAGGAGAGGGCUGCUCCCACAUUUCAGCACUGAAACAUCACACACCUGGCUGCUCCCUCUCGCUGUCUCACCUUCCCCCAGCAGGCUCUCCAAGGAGGCGCCGAGCACAAAAGGAGACUUCAAAAAAAAAGAAAAGUUUUCUUUGUCCUCUUAAGGAAACGUUUAAUGAUUGCCUUUACCCCACUUUCAACCUGGAGUGCCUGCUCUUUAUUCUCUAGGCAGGUGCUGAGAGAUGAGGCUUUGGUGAGCAGCCUGAUUAAAAACCAGUAUCAGAUGUUGGGAGACAAUGUGUAAUACGACAACCAGCACUCACAGCAUCAUGUGAGAAAUAUAAUUAAAAAGAUUGCUCUGUGA
This is a long non-coding RNA of Passer domesticus (house sparrow), 3953 nucleotides long. RefSeq lists it as uncharacterized. NCBI's taxonomy places the organism in Eukaryota, Metazoa, Chordata, Aves, Passeriformes, Passeridae. The transcript is spliced from 2 exons. The record is from RefSeq and is a predicted model, not a curated record.